CGAAAGCCUGAUGGAGCAACGCCGCGUGGGUGAAGAAGGUCUUCGGAUCGUAAACCCUGUUGUUAGAGAAGAAAGUGCGUGAGAGUAACUGUUCACGUUUCGACGGGUAUCUAACCAGAAAGCCACGGCUAACUACGUGCCAGCAGCCGCGGUAAUACGUAGGUGGCAAGCGUUACCCGGAUUUAUUGGGCGUAAAGGGAACGCAGGCGGUCUUUUAAGUCUGAUGUGAAAGCCUUCGGCUUAACCGGAGUAGUGCAUUGGAAACUGGGAGACUUGAGUGCAGAAGAGGAGAGUGGAACUCCAUGUGUAGCGGUGAAAUGCGUAGAUAUAUGGAAGAACACCAGUGGCGAAAGCGGCUCUCUGGUCUGUAACUGACGCUGAGGUUCGAAAGCGUGGGUAGCAAACAGGAUUAGAUACCCUGGUAG
Molecule: ribosomal RNA, 425 nt
Filed under: uncultured bacterium
Lineage: Bacteria
Description: bacterial SSU rRNA
Rfam family: Bacterial small subunit ribosomal RNA
Source: RNAcentral